RNAcentral lists this ribosomal RNA (440 nucleotides) under uncultured bacterium. RNAcentral describes it as "partial 16S ribosomal RNA". It matches the Rfam family "Bacterial small subunit ribosomal RNA", at positions 338 to 795 of the family's 1533-position model. The record is from RNAcentral.
CCUACGGGGGGCUGCAGUAGGGAAUAUUGCUCAAUGGGGGAAACCCUGAAGCAGCAACGCCGCGUGGAGGAUGAAUGUCUUCGGAUUGUAAACCCCUUUUGUCAGAGAAGAAAAUGACGGUAUCUAACGAAUAAGCACCGGCUAACUCCGUGCAAGCAGCCGCGGUAAUACGGAGGGUGCAAGCGUUACUCGGAAUUACUGGGCGUAAAGUGCGCGUAGGCGGGAUAGCAAGUCAGAGGUGAAAUCCUAUGGCUUAACCAUAGAACUGCAUUUGAAACUGGUAUUCUAGAGUGUGGGAGAGGUAGGUGGAAUUCUUGGUGUAGGGGUGAAAUCCGUAGAGAUCAAGAGGAAUACUCGUGGCGAAGGCGACCUGCUGGAACAUAACUGACGCUGAUGCGCGAAAGCGUGGGGAGCAAACAGGAUUAGAUACCCGAGUAGUC